UCGCACUCUGACUUUAGUUUAAGUGAAUGGAUCUCUAUGAAAUUUAACCAUAAGGUUCAAUACCACAAAAGGAAGGUGGGGAUUGAUUUUGGGGGUUAUGGUACCAACAGUUAAGGAAUUAGGGGCCAAAAAGGGGCCAAAAAUAAGCAUUUUUGUAACUUCCAGACAUAACUUGUGUGUAAGUGUAUGGCUCUCUCUGACAUUGUACCACAAGGUUCCAUAUCACAAAGGGAAUGCUGGGAUUGAUUUUGGGGGUAAUUGCCUCCAAAUUUUAAGAAUUAGGGGCCAAAAAGGGGCAAAAAACAAGCAUUUUUCUAGUUUCAUGACAAUAACUUGUGUGUAAGUGUAUGGAUCUCUCUGACAUUGUAUCACAAGGUUCCAUAUCACAAAGGGAAUGCUGGAAUUGAGUUUGGGGGUAAUUGCCUCCAAAUUUUAGAAAUUAGGGGCCAAAAAGGGGCAAAAAACAAGCAUUUUUCUAGUUUCAUGACAAUAACUUGUGUGUAAGUGUAUGGAUCUCUCUGACAUUGUACCACAAGGUUCCAUAUCACAAAGGGAAGGCUGGAAUUGAUUUUGGGGGUAAUUGCCUCAAAAUUUUAGGAAUUAGAGGCCAAAAAAGGGGCAAAAAAAAAAGCAUUUUUCUAUUUUCAUGACAAUAACUUGUGUGUAAGUGUUUGGAUAUUUCUGAAAUUGUACUACAAGGUUCCAUAUCACAAAGGGAAAGCUGGAAUUGAGAUUGGGGGUAAUUGCCCGAAACGUUUAGGAAUUGGGGGCCAAAAAUUAGCAUUUUUCUAUUUUCCAGACAAUAACUUGUGUUCAAGUGUAUGGAUCCCUCUGAAAUUGUACUGCAAGGUACCGUACCACAAAGGGAAGGCUGGGAUUGAUGAUGGGGGUAAUUGCCUCAAUAUUUUAGGAAUUAGGGGACAAAAAGGGGCAAAAAACAAGCAUUUUUCUAGUUUCAUGACAAUAACUUGUGUGUAAGUGUAUGGAUCUUUAUGAAAUUGUACUACAAGGUUUCAUAUCACAAAGGGAAAGCUGGAAUUGAGUUUGGGGGUAAUUGCCCAAAAUGUUUAGGAAUAAGGGGCCAAAAGGGGUAAAAAAUAAGCAUUUUUCUAGUUUCCAGACAAUAACUUGUGUUCAAGUGUAUGGAUCUCUCUGACAUUGUUCCACAAGGUUCCAUAUCACAAAGGGAAUGCUGGGAUUGAUUUUGAGGGUAAUUGCCUCCAAAUUUUAGGAAUAAGGGGCCAAAAAAGGGGCAAAAAACAAGCAUUUUUCUAGUUUCAUGACAAUAACUUGUGUGUAAGUGUAUGGAUCUUUCUGAAAUUGUACUACAAGGUUCCAUAUCACAAAGGGAAAGCUGGAAUUGAGUUUGGGGGUAAUUGCCCAAAACGUUUAGGAAUAAGGGGCUAAAAUAAGCAUUUUUCUAGUUUUCAGACAAUAAUUUGUGUGUAAGUGUAUGGAUCUUUCUGAAAUUGUACUACAAGGUUUCAUAUCACAAAGGGAAAGCUGGAAUUGAGUUUGGGGGUAAUUGCCCAAAAUGUUUAGGAAUAAGGGGCCAAAAGGGGUCAAAAAUAAGCAUUUUUCUAGUUUCCAGACAAUAACUUGUGUUCAAGUGUAUGGAUCUCUCUGAAAUUGUACUGCGAGGUACCAUACCACAAAGGGAAGGCUGGGAUUGAUUUUGGGGGUAAUUGCCUUAAAAUUUUAGGAAUUAGGGGCAAAAAAACAAGCAUUUUUCUAGUUUCAGGACAAUAACUUGUGUGUAAGUGUAUGGAUCUUUAUGAAAUUGUACUACAAGGUACCAUACCACAAAGGGAAGGCUGGGAUUGAGUUUGGUUGUGAUGAAUCAU
Molecule: long non-coding RNA, 1844 nt
Organism: Mytilus californianus (California mussel)
Lineage: Eukaryota; Metazoa; Mollusca; Bivalvia; Mytilida; Mytilidae
Exons: 3
Source: RefSeq, a predicted model, not a curated record